This 465-nucleotide ribosomal RNA is filed under the name Vreelandella stevensii. Its description in RNAcentral is "partial 16S ribosomal RNA". It matches the Rfam family "Bacterial small subunit ribosomal RNA", at positions 338 to 795 of the family's 1533-position model. Lineage: Bacteria; Pseudomonadati; Pseudomonadota; Gammaproteobacteria; Oceanospirillales; Halomonadaceae. The record is from RNAcentral.
CCUACGGGAGGCAGCAGUGGGGAAUAUUGGACAAUGGGCGAAAGCCUGAUCCAGCCAUGCCGCGUGUGUGAAGAAGGCCUUCGGGUUGUAAAGCACUUUCAGUGGGGAAGAAAGCCUUGGGGCUAAUACCCUCGAGGAAGGACAUCACCCACAGAAGAAGCACCGGCUAACUCCGUGCCAGCAGCCGCGGUAAUACGGAGGGUGCGAGCGUUAAUCGGAAUUACUGGGCGUAAAGCGCGCGUAGGCGGUCUGAUAAGCCGGUUGUGAAAGCCCCGGGCUCAACCUGGGAACGGCAUCCGGAACUGUCCGGCUAGAGUGCAGGAGAGGAAGGUAGAAUUCCCGGUGUAGCGGUGAAAUGCGUAGAGAUCGGGAGGAAUACCAGUGGCGAAGGCGGCCUUCUGGACUGACACUGACGCUGAGGUGCGAAAGCGUGGGUAGCAAACAGGAUUAGAUACCCUAGUAGUC